This 23-nucleotide non-coding RNA is filed under the name Arabidopsis thaliana (thale cress). The record is from RNAcentral. Lineage: Eukaryota; Viridiplantae; Streptophyta; Magnoliopsida; Brassicales; Brassicaceae.
UAGAUUCUGUGUUUCAUAACAGG